Molecule: transfer RNA, 94 nt
Filed under: Candidatus Aminicenantota bacterium
Lineage: Bacteria; Candidatus Aminicenantota
Also listed under: 1 other name
Description: tRNA-Ser
Rfam family: tRNA
About the family: Transfer RNA (tRNA) molecules are approximately 80 nucleotides in length. Their secondary structure includes four short double-helical elements and three loops (D, anti-codon, and T loops).
Source: RNAcentral
GGAGAGGUGCUGGAGUGGCUGAACAGGGUCGCCUGCUAAGCGACUGUACCGACAAAAAUCGGUACCGUGGGUUCGAAUCCCACCCUCUCCGCCA